RNAcentral lists this ribosomal RNA (253 nucleotides) under uncultured bacterium. Its description in RNAcentral is "partial 16S ribosomal RNA". It matches the Rfam family "Bacterial small subunit ribosomal RNA", at positions 524 to 776 of the family's 1533-position model. The record is from RNAcentral.
UACGUAGGGUGCGAGCGUUGUCCGGAAUUAUUGGGCGUAAAGAGCUCGUAGGCGGUCUGUCGCGUCGAAUGUGAAAACCCGGGGCUCAACUCCGGGCUUGCAUUCGAUACGGGCAGGCUAGAGUUCGGUAGGGGAGUCUGGAAUUCCUGGUGUAGCGGUGAAAUGCGCAGAUAUCAGGAGGAACACCGGUGGCGAAGGCGGGACUCUGGGCCGAUACUGAUGCUGAGGAGCGAAAGCGUGGGGAGCGAACAGG